GGCUCGGGCGGCCGCCCGGGUUACCUUGUUACGACUUAGCCCCAGUCGCCGGUUUUACCCUAAGCGCCGCCUGGCAGCUAACGCCUUCAGGUCCACCCGACUCCCAUGGCUUGACGGGCGGUGUGUACAAGGUCCGGGAACGUAUUCACCGCGCCAUGGCUGAUGCGCGAUUACUAGCGAUUCCAGCUUCAUGAGGGCGAGUUGCAGCCCUCAAUCCGAACUGAGACCAGCUUUUUGAGAUUGGCGCCCUGUCGCCAGGUGGCUACCCUUUGUACUGGCCAUUGUAGCACGUGUGUCGCCCUGGGCGUAAGGGCCAUGAUGACUUGACCUCGUCCCCCCCUUCCUCUCUGCUUGCGCAGGCAGUAUAUCCAGAGUCCCCAAUUUACUUGCUGGCAACUGAAUACAGGGUUGCGUCGUUGCGGGCUUAACCAACACUCACGGCACGAGCUGACGACACCAUGCAGCACUUGUUUCGCGUCCUGCAGACUGCCUUUCCAGUCAUCGUUCACAUCUAGCCAGUAGGUUCUCGCGUAUCAUCGAUAACACAUGCUCACGCUGUGCGACCCGCAUUCUUGAGUUCACUUCGUCGACUCCAGUGAUACUAUCGUUCCUAGCGUCACGUUGCGCGACAGGGUAUCA
Molecule: ribosomal RNA, 639 nt
Filed under: uncultured Bacteroidota bacterium
Lineage: Bacteria; Pseudomonadati; Bacteroidota
Description: uncultured Bacteroidetes bacterium partial 16S ribosomal RNA
Source: RNAcentral